Long non-coding RNA from Arabidopsis lyrata subsp. lyrata, 511 nucleotides. RefSeq lists it as uncharacterized. Lineage: Eukaryota; Viridiplantae; Streptophyta; Magnoliopsida; Brassicales; Brassicaceae. The record is from RefSeq and is a predicted model, not a curated record. The transcript has 2 exons.
AUGUGACCCGUGGUAGGAUAAAAUCUAAUAUUAUUGGGGUAUAGAACUUUGUCAACCGUCCAUAUAAUUCUUAUAACAUUUGAUUCGAUUUUAGAUUAAUAAAUUUUGGUUUGGUUCACUUCAAUUCGGUUUGGUUUAUCUUCCCACUCAACCGUUGAACGAACUUAGUCUGAGUAAAUAAAAAAUCCGUGCACAUUACAUUUAGCCCCAAAAUGCCUCUCUAUCUGGUGGAGCGACACCAAAACUAAGCUUUAUCAUUUUCCAGAGAAUCGUCUCUUUGGGUAAUCGGAGAAUCACAAAAAAAAAAUGGGAACCAUAGGAUGAGCUAUUUACACUGGGUAAUUGGAUUCAUGGGAUUGGUCAAGCUUUUGAUCGUGUUGGUUCUCUUCUUCAAGGAAGCCGCGACAUCUGUCGAGGCAUCGGGCGUUGAUGAAUGUGUUUGAUUCACCAAACACGUAUUGGCGCCGCAUCCAAUUAAAAUGGAAAUCGAAAGAUAAGAUUUUAUCGUUAA